AUACGUAGGGGGCUAGCGUUAUCCGGAUUUAUUGGGUUUAAAGGGUGCGCAGGCGGCCAUUUAAGUCAGCGGUUAAAUCGUGGGGCUCAACCCCAUUCUGCCGUUGAUACUGGGUGGCUUGAUUGCGGUCGAGGUUGGCGGAAUUCGUUGUGUAGCGGUGAAAUGCAUAGAUAUGACGAAGAACACCGAUUGCGUAGGCAGCUGACCAGACCGCAAAUGACGCUCAUGCACGAAAGUGCGGGGAUCGAACAGGAUUAGAUACCCUGGUAGUCCGCACAGUAAACGAUGAAUACUUGUUUUCGGCGAUAUAAUGUCGGAGGCAAAGCGAAAGCGAUAAGUAUUCCACCUGGGGAGUACGCCGGCAACGGUGAAACUCAAAGGAAUUGGCGGGG
RNAcentral lists this ribosomal RNA (392 nucleotides) under uncultured bacterium. RNAcentral's name for it is "partial 16S ribosomal RNA". It matches the Rfam family "Bacterial small subunit ribosomal RNA", at positions 523 to 918 of the family's 1533-position model. The record is from RNAcentral.